AACGAACGCUGGCGGCAUGCCUAACACAUGCAAGUCGAACGAGACCUUCGGGUCGAGUGGCGCACGGGUGCGUAACGCGUGGGAACCUGCCCUGAGGUUCGGAAUAACUCCCCGAAAGGGGUGCUAAUACCGGAUAAUGUCUUCGGACCAAAGAUUUAUCGCCUUUGGAUGGGCCCGCGUUGGAUUAGCUAGUUGGUAGGGUAAAAGCCUACCAAGGCGACGAUCCAUAGGUGGUCUGAGAGGAUGAUCAGCCACACUGGGACUGAGACACGGCCCAGACUCAUACGGGAGGCAGCAGUGGGGAAUAUUGGACAAUGGGCGAAAGCCUGAUCCAGCAAUGCCGCGUGAGUGAUGAAGGCCUUAGGGUUGUAAAGCUCUUUUACCCGGGAUGAUAAUGACAGUACCGGGAGAAUAAGCGCCGGCUAACUCCGUG
Molecule: ribosomal RNA, 433 nt
Filed under: uncultured bacterium
Lineage: Bacteria
Description: partial 16S ribosomal RNA
Rfam family: Bacterial small subunit ribosomal RNA
Source: RNAcentral